This 515-nucleotide ribosomal RNA is filed under the name uncultured bacterium. RNAcentral's name for it is "partial 16S ribosomal RNA". It matches the Rfam family "Bacterial small subunit ribosomal RNA", at positions 28 to 523 of the family's 1533-position model. The record is from RNAcentral.
GAUGAACGCUGGCGGCGUGCCUAAUACAUGCAAGUCGAGCGAAUGGAUUAAGAGCUUGCUCUUAUGAAGUUAGCGGCGGACGGGUGAGUAACACGUGAGUAACCUGCCCAUAAGACUGGGAUAACUCCGGGAAACUGGGGCUAAUACCGGAUAACAUUUUGAACCGCAUGGUUCGAAAUUGAAAGGCGGCUUCGGCUGUCACUUAUGGAUGGACCCGCGUCGCAUUAGCUAGUUGGUGAGGUAACGGCUCACCAAGGAAACGAUGCGUAGCCGACCUGAGAGGGUGAUCGGCCACACUGGGACUGAGACACGGCCCAGACUCCUACGGGAGGCAGCAGUAGGGAAUCUUCCGCAAUGGACGAAGGUCUGACGGAGCAACGCCGCGUGAGUGAUGAAGGCUUUCGGGUCGUAAAACUCCGUUGUUAGGGAAGAACAAGUGCUAGUUGAAUAAGCUGGCACCUUGACGGUACCUAACCAGAAAGCCACGGCUAACUACGUGCCAGCCGCCGCCGUAA